AAUGAACGCUGGCGGCGGGCUUAACACAUGCAAGUCGAACGAGUGGCGGACGGGUGAAUAAUUUAUGGGGACUGCCUGAUAGAGGGGUAUAACUACUGGAAAAGGUGGCUAAUACUGCAUAAUAUCGGAUGAGCCAUAUGGGAUUAGCUAGUCGGGGGGGUAAAGGCUCACCUAGGCGACGAUCUCUAGCUGGUCUGAGAGGAUUAUCAGCCACACUGGGACUGAGACACGGCCCAGACUCCUAUGGAGGCAGCAGUGGGGAAUAUUGCACAAUGGGCGAAAGCCUGAUGCAGCAAUGCCGCGUGUAUGAAGAAGGCUUUCGGGUUGUAAAGUACUUUCAGUCGGGAGGCGUUACCGACAGAAGAAGCACCGGCUAACUCCGUGCCAGCAGCCGCGGUAAUAC
RNAcentral lists this ribosomal RNA (403 nucleotides) under uncultured bacterium. Its description in RNAcentral is "partial 16S ribosomal RNA". It matches the Rfam family "Bacterial small subunit ribosomal RNA", at positions 29 to 526 of the family's 1533-position model. The record is from RNAcentral.